AUAAGUUGCGCCUCGAAUUUUUGACCCCACAAUAAUAGUACAAGCAUUUAAUGUUCAUGUGUAUUACUUACAUCCACUAAUAUAUUUUUUCCUGACAGUUCUAACUGAAUUUAUAUAUUUAUUCUUGAUUCACAUUACAGAGUGGAUUUUGAAAAGUAUAGCGGGGGCCAGCAUUGGUGGGGAUAGCCUACUGCCUCUUCGGACACUGCAACUGCAACACGCAAAAUGACUCCUGGAGUGCUAUUUAGAAACCAAUUGAUGCAGAAAUGUACAAUGAUUCAUCCUGGAAAAGGGAGAAAGCCAGACCCUCUGGAUGUUCCUGCUACCAACAAGAUUUUCAUAAUCCGUCACUUAGUUGGAGAACAAGGGAACAUGAAAAGAAUUGAUAAGUGGCGAAGUGGUUUCAGAAACCUUUUUCUAAUUCGUCUUUGACACCAGAUUGUGUGGUCAGGAAGUGUGAAUGUGUGGUGCAGAAAAUACUGACUCUGGAAAGUGACAUCCUGUGUGAAUUUUUGUUGAGGCCACUGAAACUGAACUCUGUGUCUUUUUCCCUGGAUGCUUGUGACAUGGACGGAACAAGACAUAUUUUUAACUGCAGGUCAUGUUUAAUUAAAUGCUGGGAAUAAAAGCUUGACUAACGAAAAUAUUAUUGAGAUCUAAUUCAUUUAAGUCCAAAGAGAGGUAGAAAAUGGGGGUAGAUUUUGUACCUUUGUGGGUUGAGGAACUAAUUUGCAAUGAUGAUGCAGACAUUUCAAAAGUCAGAUCUUUUGUUUAGUGAAUAUACAACAAUUUGUUAAAGAAAAAUAAGAAAAAAUAAGAAAAAUAGUCACUGAGCAGAAACUUUUGUCAAAGAAAAUGAACACAAACACAAUUGAGGAACAUGCUGCUACUUCUAAAAACAAAACCACACACGCCCUUUGAAAUUGUUAACACAAAUA
This is a long non-coding RNA of Aplysia californica (California sea hare), 938 nucleotides long. RefSeq lists it as uncharacterized. The transcript has 2 exons. The record is from RefSeq and is a predicted model, not a curated record. NCBI's taxonomy places the organism in Eukaryota, Metazoa, Mollusca, Gastropoda, Aplysiida, Aplysiidae.